Molecule: long non-coding RNA, 213 nt
Filed under: Mus musculus (house mouse)
Lineage: Eukaryota; Metazoa; Chordata; Mammalia; Rodentia; Muridae
Description: long non-coding RNA chrX:142412754-142412967
Source: RNAcentral
AUGCCUUGGAAAAUUGAGGAAAUCAAGGAUUUUCUGCUCACAUCCCGGUGGAAGGAUGCCAAGUCUGUCAAGAUCAAGAAGAACAAGGAUAAUGUGAAGUUCAGGGUUCGCUGCAGCAGGUACCUUUCCACCCUGGUUAUCACAGACAAGGAAAAGGCAGAGAAGCUAAAGCAGUCCCUACCCCCUGGUUUGGCAGUGAAGGAGCUAAAAUGA